AUUUUUGUCAGACAAAAUUGACAUGUUCAACAUUUUCAAAUUUUUUUUUUAAAUUUAGUAAAAAUUGUAAUUAUAUAAAAAAAGUUUAAUUAUGGAAAAAUCAAAUUUAAAAGUAUUAUUUCUAAAUAUAUUCUCUGUAUUAUUUAUUGCUGCAAGUUCAUCUAUUCGAAGUCUGCAAUACAACUUAAUUGAAAUCGAAACAACAAUGAAAAAUGCGGGUUUAAAUAUACCUUUAGUUCCUGAAAUGCUUACAUUGAUUCUAUCAUGUUUUGUGAUUUUUAAAUUUAUUUUAAGCUAUUUAAGUUUAGCUGCUCAUGUUGUGGCUUUGUAAGAAUAUUAACUUAUAUUUACUAUUUUUAUCUGCUAACUUCUAAUUUAAAGAUAUCCAAUUUUAAACUACAACUUGAGUGAUCUUUUGAUACCAACAAUUCUAUUUCAAGUUAUUCAAAAUGUUUUAUUGAAUAUAAUCGAAUUAUGGUUUGGAUAUUUUACUUGUCAUUACUAUUUGGACAAAGCUGCAACAGCUUGUUAUGUUUUCUAUUUCAAAAUGAUAACAAAAACUUUAAUGGGAGUCGUUAUGUUAAAUAUAUUUUGGAAGCAUUACAAUAACUUGAGAUAUCCUCAAUGGAAUGUAAUACCAACUCGUACAUUUUUUAAAAGAAUAUCAAACAAUCAAUCAAUAAAAGAUGAAGAAGAGAAUAUUCAAAAUAGUCUGAUUUAUCAAACAUAUGAUACAGAAACCGAUAGUGAAGGAUCUGUGUCUUUUUGAAUAGAUGGAUAUACAUACUAAUUUGUACACUUUUUGUUUGUUGUAAGUAUUUACUUUAAUCAAUGCUUUACUUCACUCUAUUCUAUUCCAAUCUAAUCUACUAUAACCUCUGCCCCUUGGUUCAAGUGUUGAAGACAUCUUUUUAAAAACAGUGUCUAGAUCCUUCUUACCAAAACUGCACUCGAAAUUCUGUUUGUUUUUAAAUAGUGUAUUCUAAAAGCAAAGUUUCAGACUAACGUUUAAUGUAUGCCGAGUCAUGGUAGCAAAGUUUUACGCUACAACAUGAUGACUAAAAGGAGUCUUCAUAAAUCAGCAAUGAAAGAUUUGAAUAUUUAAGCCUAGUACACAAAUUGAGCUAAAUUUUUGCUCCCAUACAAAAUUCUCUCCAAAUUUUAGCUGACUUAAGGAUUUUCAUGCGAUUUCUGAGCAGUUAUACUGGAAUAAAGUUUUUCAAAUGCAUAAAAUCUACUUUCUUACUUACCGGUGGAAUUUCGUUAACAUCAAUAAUGGAAAUAAUUAAUAAUCCUUUUCCUUGUUGUGUUGUUGGAGCUGUGCUAUCAGUUACCAAAACUGUUAUACGAAUAACCUAUUAAAUAUUCGAAAUUAUUGUAUUUUUCUUUCUUUCAAAUAGAAAGUAUACUCCUUUCUUACCGCAAAUAUAUUUCUUUCUAAUUUCUUAUUGACAACAACUUUUCCAUUACGAUUAACUGCAAAAUAUUCUUUAAGUUCAUCAGCAUUCUCUAAUUCAUUGCCAUCUUUGUCAAUAGCUGUUAUUGGAUCGGUUGCAGCAAAUUCUAAUGCUGUAUGUGUAUCAACAUCGGGAUCAAUUGCUACCAAAGUGUAGACUACUGUGCCAACUGGGACAUCUUCUCGGACCUAAACAGGGGAAGUAAAAAAGUGUGGUUACAAACAUUGUUAAAUUAAGAUUUCAAAGAGUCUGAAUUGCCAAAAAAUUGUUCAGAAAUGUAUUCAAAAAUUCAAUUAUUGAUCAAAAAAAAAAAGUAAGAAGAAAGGUAGAAAGCUGUUUUUGAAACACUCGGAAAUUGAAAAAAAGAAAUGUGAAUGUUUGUAAUAAAUAAUAAAACCUCAAUAGAAAAGUGUUAUGAGGAGAGUAAGUUAUACACUUACCUCAGCACGUUGUGUAGCUGGUGUAAA
Molecule: long non-coding RNA, 1924 nt
Organism: Episyrphus balteatus (marmalade hoverfly)
Lineage: Eukaryota; Metazoa; Arthropoda; Insecta; Diptera; Syrphidae
Exons: 3
Source: RefSeq, a predicted model, not a curated record